Molecule: long non-coding RNA, 689 nt
Organism: Ipomoea nil (Japanese morning glory)
Lineage: Eukaryota; Viridiplantae; Streptophyta; Magnoliopsida; Solanales; Convolvulaceae
Exons: 5
Source: RefSeq, a predicted model, not a curated record
CAUCGAUCUCUCCCUAAUCUUCAUCGCCGCCACAGAUCUGGAAACUCCAUCGCCGGCCAUCGCCUAAGCUCUCCAUCGCCGGCCACGCCGUCUGGCUCUCCACCUCGCCGCCUCCGGUGCGUCCCUCGCCUCCCUCGAUCUGUAGACAGCCGCGACGGACAACAGCAGCAACCUUCGCCGCCUCGCCGCCUCGCUGCUUCGCCGGUUCGCCCCUCGUGGUAAGUUUGGAAUAGAGGAAGAAGAUGUUGCCAAAGGGUUGAUUCAGUUUGGAUUUUGGAAAUCAGUGGGAUACCACUUGGGGAACACCCGUGUUCAGGGUGCCAUAAGGGAAUUUCGAUCUCUUUCUACAAUUGGAGGAAGAACUAAAGCGAUUGAAUGGAUGCAAUGCAAAUGUCCACAACAGCCGGGAGGCACUGAAUGUGGAUAUUAUGUACUAAGAUACAUGUUAGAGAUCGUUACUAAGUAUUCAAAGGUUGAUUGUCUACAUGGGAUAUUUGAUAAUGAAGCACCCUACUCCUUGAACGACAUAGAUGAAGUUCGAGAGUUGUGGGCAGAAUAUUUUUUAGAAGAGUGCGUGUAAAUUUAGUUUAAACAUUAACUUAUGCUUAGUUUAUAUUUGAAUGUAGUGUUGAUUGUUAUUAUAUAUUGUGUUGAUAUUAUAAGUGUAUUGUGGUAUUUUAUUGUGUUGA